RNAcentral lists this ribosomal RNA (305 nucleotides) under uncultured bacterium. RNAcentral's name for it is "bacterial SSU rRNA". It matches the Rfam family "Bacterial small subunit ribosomal RNA", at positions 338 to 660 of the family's 1533-position model. The record is from RNAcentral.
CCUACGGGGGGCAGCAGUGGGGGAUAUUGCACAAUGGGGGAAACCCUGAUGCAGCAACGCCGCGUGAAGGAAGAAGGUCUUCGGAUUGUAAACUUUUGUCUUGUGGGAAGAUAAUGACGGUACCACAGGAGGAAGCUCCGGCUAACUACGUGCCAGCAGCCGCGGUAAUACGUAGGGAGCGAGCGUUGUCCGGAUUUACUGGGUGUAAAGGGUGCGUAGGCGGCUAGACAAGUCAGGUGUGAAAUACCGCAGCUCAACUGCGGGGCUGCACUUGACACUGUCGAGCUUGCGUGAUGGAGAGGUAA